RNAcentral lists this ribosomal RNA (373 nucleotides) under uncultured eukaryote. RNAcentral describes it as "SSU rRNA". It matches the Rfam family "Eukaryotic small subunit ribosomal RNA", at positions 587 to 972 of the family's 1831-position model. The record is from RNAcentral.
AGCUCCAAUAGCGUAUAUUAAAGUUGUUGCAGUUAAAAAGCUCGUAGUUGGACUUGUGGUGGUUCCUGGGGUCCGAUUUCGGUACUCUCGGGGACUGCCAUCUUUGGGUGGAUCCUGUGUGGCAUUAGGUUGUCGUGCAGGGGAUGCCCAUCGUUUACUGUGAAAAAAUUAGAGUGUUCAAAGCAGGCUUAUGCCGUUGAAUAUAUUAGCAUGGAAUAAUGAGAUAGGACCUUGGUACUAUUUUGUUGGUUUGCGCACCGAGGUAAUGAUUAAUAGGGAUUGUUGUGGGUAUUCGUAUUCCAUUGUCAGAGGUGAAAUUCUUGGAUUUCUGGAAGACGAACUAAUGCGAAAGCAUUUACCAAGGAUGUUUUCA